AAGCGUGCGCAGGCGGUUAUGUAAGACAGAUGUGAAAUCCCCGGGCUCAACCUGGGAACUGCAUUAGUGACUGCAUAGCUGGAGUACGGCAGGAGGGGGAUGGAAUUCCGCGUGUAGCAGUGAAAUGCGUAGAUAUGCGGAGGAACACCGAUGGCGAAGGCAAUCCCCUGGGCCUGUACUGACGCUCAUGCACGAAAGCGUGGGGAGCAAACAGGAUUAGAUACCCUUGU
RNAcentral lists this ribosomal RNA (230 nucleotides) under uncultured bacterium. Its description in RNAcentral is "partial 16S ribosomal RNA". It matches the Rfam family "Bacterial small subunit ribosomal RNA", at positions 563 to 791 of the family's 1533-position model. The record is from RNAcentral.